Molecule: long non-coding RNA, 5214 nt
Organism: Cyprinus carpio (common carp)
Lineage: Eukaryota; Metazoa; Chordata; Actinopteri; Cypriniformes; Cyprinidae
Exons: 3
Source: RefSeq, a predicted model, not a curated record
GGUCAUCUUCCAGGAAAUGUCAUCAGUUUCUCUAAUAAACAAACAAACAAAUACAGCACAAGCAUUUUUAAAAAUUAAAUUUACAUUCUUUAAAACAUACGUCAUAACAGCAAUGACCUAGCUGCAGUUAACAUUAAGGCAGAUAUAUUUCUUUUUGUGUAUAUGAGAGAGAUUCUGUGUAACACAGCAGUAUUAUGUUUUGAGGUAGUAUAAGGCAGAGGGAGGGGAAUGGUGGAGGCUUGCUUCACAUGGCUGUUCGAGCUGCUAUCUCCAGCUACAAGACUGAAAGUCUGGCCAGGAAAACAGACUUGCACACACUCACUCCUAUUUUCUUUAAUGUGCUCUGUUCAGUUUUUCCUACUCUUAAAACAAGCUAUGUCCCACAGCGGUCUGAUAAGAGAGAGGAGGGGCUGUGUACCUGUGUGAAGGGCACUGUGUCAUGUUGGUUUUUAUUUGGAGGGUGUGUGGCAUUAGUCAUUUAAGUUAUGACAUUUGGUUUUGUAUGUGUCAUGUAUGUGGGCACAUUACGUGUAGUGUACAGUUAAUUAGCAUCAAAGCAAAUAGUUAUCAAACACUGUUGCAUUAGCAACACAUUGUUUAGAGUCAUUUUAUGUCUAUUAAUGACAGCUUGUGAACUGAAGGUGGGACUACAAAUACAAAAAAGUCACUUGCCAUUACUGUGUUUUCUAUGGCAUUGUACCAUAGUAAAAGUGUUACAAUACUCAUUUUUAGAAAAAUACUAUGGAAAUAAAAUGAUUCUUUGACAUGCACCUUGGUAAUACCCUGUUUAUCUUUGAAUUGGCUUGAAGUACCAUCUAAAAACCAUGGAACACUAAUAUUGUAAUCAUUCAGUGACGUGGUAUAUAAGAAAAUGUCAUGGUGUUGCCAACUGAUAACAUCACGCUGACUGUACCAUGGUACCACCACAGUACUUUUUCGAGGGUCAACCCAGCACAGGCUCAUUCAACCAGUUUCAAUAGAGAUAAAUGAGCCCUGAAAAUACAUAAACUACCCACUUUCCGUUUACUUCUUACUUUCACACAUAUUAAAAUUAUGGCCUACAUUUUACACAAAUAGAAGAUCAUAAAUUAAACCGCAGACACCAACUACACAAUGAAGUGCUGCCAUUGAUGUGUUCUCACCAUACACAAACAAUGAAUGCUCUUCGUACACAGUUUGACAUUUUGCUUUUCUCUAUAAUUGGGCUGUAGAAUAAACAAGGAGGUUAGGUUGUGGAGCAGGGAUGUCAGAUAGUUUACGGAGACUUCAUUCAUGUACGGUCAAGUCUGAUUCAGCCAACAGCUAAUAAGUACGACGAACAUCGCGUCAAAUUGUCAGAAACGUCCAGAGCGGCUCGGUUAAUGAUACACAGUCCUUGAUUUGUGCGAGCUGCUAAAUAGCAGUAACAUUAGUUCAGCUGUUUUAAUGGCCUUGUUAGCGUGUCAAUGAAAGAACAGUAUAUCAAAUGAUGUAUCACCUGUCAUCUAAGUUAUGAAGAGCUAGGACAAGCGAAAAUGGGGGAAAAACAGUAAAUUUAGUUUAAAAGUGUUCUUGGAUCAAUGUGAAUCAUAAUGCAUAUAGUGGGGGUGCAUCCUUUCUCAGCCAGUUAAGAUUUAGGUGGACAGCUGUUUGAAAUGGGAGAAUGCAUUCAUGAACCUGGAAAUUAGCUUGUGCUCUUUGGAUAAUCUACACCUUCGGGAGGACUGGAAAUCUUACACACUCCAAUACUUUUCUCACUCCCCCCACUCUGUCCAUCUAUCGCUCUCCCUCUGAUUCUUCGUUUCACACACACACUGACACAAACACAUUCAGACUUUCUUUAUAUCUCUCUUUCCACUCGCCCUACCCCCUCACCCAUUACCGUGACCCUUGUUCUUCCCACUUACUUUCUCUCCAUUCUCUCUCUCUCUCUCUCUCUCUCUCUCUCUUUCCCUCCCUCCUGCUGGUUUUAUCAGUGGUCCUGCUCAGUGUCCUACAGUCAUGUCAUGAUGUGAUUUAUGUCAUGGGUUGUGAAGUCUACUUAUCUCCUCCCCCUACACACACACACACACUGAGGAGCUGGCUCCCACUUUCUAGGGCUCAGCCAUCCUGGCUCCUCUGCCGCCCAGCACCCAGACCUGGCCAGAGUGAGCAGGGUGUGUUGCAUGUGUGUGAAUGCUGGUAUCAGUGAAGAGUAUGAGUGUCUGAAAUGAAAUGCAGGGUGUUUAGUGGACAGUCAGGGAUAGUGAUGUCAUUCAUGAAGCAAUAUAUUUUCUCCCUGAUCCUAUCCUAUCCAGUCCUGUCCUGUCCUAUACUGGUCUAUCCUAUCCUGUCUUGUCCUGUCCUAUCCCGUCCCAUCCCAUCCUGUCCUAUCCCGUCCCAUCCCAUCCUAUCCUGGCCUAUCCUAUCCUUUACCAAUCCUGUCUCAUCCUCAUUUAUCUCAUCCUAUCCCACCUUACCUUGUCCUGACUCAUCCUAUCCUGGUCUACCCUAUCUUGGUCUAUCCUGCCCAGGCCUAUCCUAUCCUAUCCUAUCCUAUCCUAUCCUAUCCUAUCCUAUCCUAUCCCAGUGCUCUUAUUUAUCCUUUCCUGUCCUAUCAUACCCUAAUUGUUCCUGCUCCGACUUAUCCUAUCCCAUCCUGUCCUGUCCUGUCCUGUUCCAAUUCAUUUUCAUCAUAUCCUACCUUGCCCUAAUUUAUCCUAAGCUGUCCUACAAUUUUUUAUUCUCCCUAUCCUAUUCUGGUCUAUCCUAUCUUGUCCUGACUUAUCCUAUCCUGUCCUAUCCUACCCUACUCGUUCCUGGUCUGACUUAUCCUAUCCUAUCUUAUCCUGUCCUGUUUCAAUUAUUUUUCAUCAUAUCCUACCUUGCCCUAAUUUAUCCUAAGCUGUCCUACAAUUUCUUAUUCUCCUUGUCCUAUCCUGGUCUAUCCUUAUCUUGAUUUGACUUAUCCUCUCCCUGUUCCUGUCCUGGGCUAUCCUAUCCUGGCCUACCCUUACUUAUUCUGACUUAAACUAACCAAUGCCACGCAAAGAGAGCUGUAUUCUUUUCUUCAUUCCAAUCUUUGAGUCUGAAUCUUUGCUUCUUGACUUACUAAAAACAGUGACCAAAAUCAUCUAGCACCAAAUAUGUCAUUUUCUCCAGCAAGUAACUCACAGUGAAUCCAGCUCCAUUUAUAUGUCAUUGUUCUGUCUGUAAUUUUGAAAUACUUUCAUCCCAGUGUCUGCUAUGUAUGCAUGUGAUAUUUGUGAGGUGCAUAUGUGAUUUGUGUAUGUGUGUGUGUGUGCGUUGGAGAGGUCAUCCACAUCUCUCUUUUACACGGCUCUUAGCGCGGACCCUUUGAUGUGCUUUUAGAAUGGCCAUACAGCUCUCUGCUUUACCUCUCGCUUGACAAUUGUUUAUUAGUUUUGAAACAGCUUUAGUGGACAUCAGGCUCUCUGAGAUGGCACGUUUGUGGAGAGGACGACUCACAACUCAACUGACCCCUCCUCCCCAAGAGCCGGACCCAGGACAGUGAGUCACAGAGACCUUUGAAGGGUAAAGGGAGACUUGGGCCUGCUGGGAGUCUGAAGGAUGGAGGAAUGGGAGUCAAAGAGUUACUGAGAGUUCAGUUCAUCCAUCUUCUCUCAAAUAAAGAGAGACUCCCUGCAAAUACGUCUAAUCUUCCUUACCUCUCUUUCAUAACCAUCACUUUUCCUUCUUUUCGUGGGACAUGAUACGCUCGCUCAGUCAGCUCAAGUCUUAUCGCUGUGUAUAAAGGGGUUCUGUGUUCUGUCAUAGAGGCAGGAGGCCAUAAACACAUAUGAGCAUCUCCCUCACUGUCAAGGCUUCCUAUGCUGUGAUUGGCUGAAGGCUGCACUGUCACUGCAGCUGAUUGGCCGGGCUGAGGAUGAAUGUGCACGCUGACAACCAAUGGGGCCAGAUGAGGGUGAGCCGGGUGAGAUAUGGGACGCCACAUUCUUAAGCACUAAUCAAAUCUUAUGAGCUUUCACUGAUGGGUAUGUGUUAUGUUUGUUGAUUUGCCUUCAUUAGUCUUUACAACGUGUCCAUGUUCUUAUGCAUUUUUGUGCUUGCGAUGAAUCAUGUUGAUAGACGUCUGUAUAAAUUCUCAAUGUGUAAAGGGGUUUUAGCCAGUGAGCGAAUCAGUUUGUAUCAAGAGUUCAUAUGCAGGAGGAACCAAGACUUGCCUCAACAGAUUGAAACACGUAUUGCAGCAAGCUAAUAAAGUUUAUACUGAAGAGGUUCUGGGGUCAAAGGUCACUUGCUGCCCUCUGCUCAGCCUCCCCUCACCACUCCAUCUAGCGCUCCAACAGGAGUGCUGAAAAUAGCCUGUGAUGGAUGCAAAUCUGAACAUUUCCCUCAUUCCCUCCCCCUUUCUUAGUCUACCUUGCUCUGCUAUUCAGACCAUCUCUCGUCAUCCCUAUUAGUCCAGAUGAAGAUGGAUAUGGACAGUCAGUUAUUUAUGGAUUAGGGCGGAGCUCUGAACCUUUAUUGCCAUUCUUUUAUGUCCCGAAAAGGUCUUGGGUAUGUUUCACAUUACCAUUGUUUUUCUACAGCUGACAGAGUGACAGUAAAGACAUUUAGAAUGUUUCAAAAGAUUUAUAUUAAUAAAUAAAAUGCCUUUUUUAUUUCUGUUUGGGUUUUCAACUUACAACUUGUGUUUUGUAGGAAAGAGCAGCAUAGAUAUAUCUCAGCAAAAUACCUAAUUUUUUGUUCGGUGGAAGCAAAAAAUGUACAUUUGGGUGAGAUAUAUAGUGAAUUAUUCCUUUUACGUAAGCAUUCAAACAUUCAGACGCCUUAAUGUUCUGUGAGAAACUGUUUCAGACGCACACGCACGCAUUCUGAGAGAUGGACGUGGUGAUCUGUCGUGUGGGUAGACACACGUCGUGGGACACAGGAAUCAGGAGGGGGUGUUUUUGAGCUCUGUUUUAGUCAACUUCCUCUCUGUGCAACAGAACUUCCUGUGUUGGUUCCGCGAAUGGAGACCCACCAGCUUCCCCCCAGCGGAAUGAGUGUGUGCCUGUGCACGUGAGUGCCCGUAUUACAUGUCACUGCCACCUACCACUCUCAGCAUUCUCUUUCUGCAUGCUGUAGUCAAUUAGACUGCAUCAGUAUUUAUUUAGGGUUUAACUGUUAUAAAUGUGGCUACGUAAGUGGGUUCAGUGGGGUUUUGGUACCAAUGGAUUGCAAAUUGGGCAAACAAUUAUGGGUCAAUGAUGAGAUAUUUUUGACACUCCA